Molecule: RNA transcript, 4681 nt
Organism: Oncorhynchus masou masou (cherry salmon)
Lineage: Eukaryota; Metazoa; Chordata; Actinopteri; Salmoniformes; Salmonidae
Gene name: calcium-binding and coiled-coil domain-containing protein 1-like
Exons: 16
Source: RefSeq, a predicted model, not a curated record
AACCCACCACCACUGUGAUGCGUGUGUUUUUGUUAUUGUUGUAGGUUAGUGGAACAGCUGAGAGCGAAGAGACAUCGUUGUGCAUCUUUAAAAAACGUUGAAUCGUUUUCUGACACGGAUGGACUUUGUCUGCCUUUAAUCGAAAUAGGGACGGAUCAAUUGGACAAUCUGCAGAGCAAACAGAUCAGAAUAAGGUGCUCACCAGUGUUAUUGUGUUGCCAUGGAGAAGGCUUGGAGAGUGGAGUUUAGGAACGUGGGUAGUAGCUACUUCCCUCAGAGCCGCGUGGAAUGCCACUACAGCAUCAGCUCGCAACAUACCUGGGCCAGCCAUGACUGGGUCGGACUCUUCAAGGUGGGAUGGUUGUCAGUGAAGGACUACCACACCUUUGUUUGGGCCCUGGCCCCAGAAGGCUACCAGGAGGGCACAGAUGUCAACUGCUGUGUUAACUUCCAGGCCUCCUAUCUGCCCAAGUCCAGUUCCCAGCAGUACCAGUUUGUGUACGUGGAUGGGAAGGGAGAGGUGUGCUCUGCCAGCUCCCGGUUUACCUUCAGCGCCCCUAAACCUUUGGAGGACCUGGUCACCCUGGAGGAAGGAGCCCACGGAGAGGAGGGGGGGACCGACAUGCUUCUGGUCGUACCCAGGGCCGAGCUACUGCAGAGUCGCCUGCAAGAGUGUCUUCGGGAGCGAGCCGAGCUGCUCCACGCACGGGAGGCAGCCGAGAGGAUGAAGGAGAGAGAGAGGGAGAAGUACAGGAGGGCAAGAGAGGCGUGGGACAGAGGGUGUGAGGAGCUGGAGAGGAACAUCGCGGACCUGAAGGAAGAGCUGCGAGAAAGCAGAGACAGGGUGGAAGAGAUGGAGAGGAGGCAGGAGGAGGUGGAGGCAUCAGGAGAGGCCUUGGCUCAAGAGAAGAGCUCCAUACUGACUAUGAAAGCAGCCAGCGAACAGCGAAUCAGAGAGCUGGAGGAUGACAUUAAAGCCCUGGCACUGAAGGCUUUGGAACGAGAGACUGAACUGGAGAGGAUGAAGGAGAGGGCCAAGAAGCAAGCAGUUCAAAGAAGGGAGGAGGAGAAAGAGAGGAAAGUUCUGCAGCUCAAGCUGGAGCAGUCCGAGGGGGAGCUGCGGAGCCUGUCUGCUGAGUUCCAGGGUCUGAGGAGCUCGCUGGCCCAGAGAGACACACACGCCCUGCAGCUACGGGACACCAUCACCACCCUCACAUACAGGCUGAGUACGGCGCAGCGGAAAGAGGCGGAGAGCGAGGCCGCCCUGGCUGAGAUGCGGGGCCUGCGGGAGCGUCUGGGGGCCAGCGAGCGUUGUGCCGAGGGCCUGAAGGGAGAGCUGUGUGCCCUGGUGGCCCAGAGGGACCAGGGCCAGACAGAGCUGCACCAGGCCAGGCUCCAAGCAGCACAGCUCACCCUGCAGCUCGCCGACGCCAGCCUGGCCCUGAGGGAGGCCCGAGCACACUGGGCCCAGGAGAGACAGAGCCUGCAGUGCAGCACUGAGAAGGCCAGAGAGCGUCUGGAGAAGCUGAAUGGAGAGACGCAGCGGAUAGAGAAGAAGCUUCAGGAGGAGAGGAUGGAGAGAGAGAAGGUGGAAGUGGAGCUGGGAAGAGAGAAGGACUGCAACCGGGUGCAGCUGGGUGAGACAUGCAGAGAGCUCCAGGAGCUGAAGGCCAGUCUGAGGGUGGCCCAGAAGGAGAAGGAGCAGCUGCUGCUGGAGCAACAGGACCUGAUGGAGUACAUGGGUCAGGUGGAACAGAGGAGGGAGGCUUUGGCAGAUGCCAAGUGGAGCGCUGCGGUGUUCGCCUCCACCAGCCUCCAUGACAGUCCUCUGUCUGACUCUGAGGAUGAGAACCCUGAGGCCCUGCAGCCCUCCCGCCAACCCUGCAGGCAGCCCCCCCCCUCCUCCCGCCCCCUUGCCCACUACAGCCUGUGUGACCCCCAGGCCCAGCCUGACUCCCUGCUCCCCUCCACCCCUCCUUCCUCCCCCAGAGACAUGUCCCGGUCCCUGUCCCGAGGGGGCGUCGUCAUCAGCCAGCCCGCUCCCCUGUUGUUGCCCAGGCAAUCGGGCGGAGACACCCUAACACACAGCUCUGAGUCGGAGGAGGAGAAUAACACCGACCAGUGUGGAGGACACAGCUCUGGAGAGGAGGCAGCCCUGCUGCUGCCUGAGACCACAGACGCAGUCCUCAGGUCGUAAAAGAAGUUGAGUGUGGAGGGGAGGAGGAAGGGAGCGUGUACGACGGAGGCAGCGCGAGGGAGGGAAGAGGGCAGUGAGGGAGAAGGAGGGGAGAGAUGGGAGGACAAGGGGACAGUGACCUGGCUAAUACCUCUCAGUGGUAGAGAGCGGAGAUACAGGACCAAGUCAACAGCAUCACUGUCAGUGUGUUCUUUACUUUCAGUAUUCAGCACACACACACACACACACACACACACACACACACACACACACACACACACACACACACACACACACACACACACACACACACACACACACACACACACACACACACACACACACACACACUACAACUCACCUCUCUGACAAAUGAUGUUAAUAUGCAAUUUGCUUCUACAUUUUUCUAUGAACUUCUUCUUUGAUGUGUGACUUCUAGGCUGUUGUGCUGCACCUGCACAUAACAUGGUCCUAAGGAUGCCAUAAUGCCUGUCAUAACAGGUCGCGACAGCUCAAAUCAUAGUUACGGCCUCUCGUGGCCGUUCUAAAGCGUGAAACGCUUAACAUUUAAGUCUUAGUUAGAUGUUUAAUAGUUCAUGUUUCAUAGCAGGGUUCUUUCGGUUGCAGGAGGAGUGAUGUUGGGAGCUUUACGACCGGCGUUAUGACAUCUUUAUGACGCCGUUAUUAUGAGGCAUCAUGACAGCCACUGCAAUGAAGAUAUUUUGAGUGAAUGUAUCCGUCUCCUUUUGAAAAUCUAAAAGUUGAUUUGAACACUUCCGUCGGCGCGACAACUUCAAACACUUCAACUACUGUAAUAAUAGUCAUUAAGACGUACUUAGACUUUUGUUUGAAGAGUCAUUGUAAACUACAGAUAUGUAUAAUGUUUUUCCUCCUUAUAUUCAAAACCUGAGAUGUUAUAUUAUAAGCAUUUUCUGUUAUUCAUUAUUAGACAUUUAUAUUCCUGCUUUAUUAGGGGUGUUGUAGUACUAGUUGAAAGGAGACUCAAAGGUAGAGAGGCGUUCAAAAUGGGGGAGAACGGUUGAAAACGCUUCUGGAAAAGGGUGGCAGUUUGAGGGCAAUUAGGUUGGGGAGGGCAAUCAGGUUGGGGAGGGCGAUCAGGUUGGGGAGGGCAAUCAGGUUGGGGAGGGCAAUCAGGUUGAAUGUAGACUGGAAGAGACACUCUAGAAAGGUGGUUGCUACUAAUUAGGGCGAGAGGAAUGACAUUUUGAUGUUCUCUCAUGUUUGUUUUGUUGAACAAUAUAUUUGACUUCCAAUAUUCUAUCCUCCGCAACAUACAGCUAUUGCUCCUGCAUGCUGGUAGCUGUAGCGCCACUGCAAUACUUAUGUAUUUGAUACCAGAUGUCAAUCGGGGUGUUGUUUUAAAGCAAGAAUAAUGUGUGUUUAGAACGUCCCAGAAGAUCAUUAGUAAUGCGCUAGAUUCACUGUGCGCGGUAUACAGAAACGACCUGCUUCAGAGGGACGAAGCCAUUCUAAAUUUGUACCUAAAAGAACAAAUUGGUAACAACGUUGCAAUACUUGUUAUGGUGUGUUGUUCCUAUAGCUCAUGGAAGUCUGGCCUGGACUAGAUUACUACUGGGUCAAGAAAUACAUUUUUCAUGAUUUUCUACCAAUACUCCGCUUGUGUUAUAUCGUAAUGAAAUGAUAUGCAGUUUUAGUUUAAGCUACAUAGUUGAUACGUGUAAUAAGAAGAAAAUACUAAAGCCAGGGUUCGUCCUGUCUGUGUCAUGUCGUCUCUCAUCCUUCCCAUAAUCAUUACCAUCGUGCGUUGUAUUUCCUCUUCGUUUCUUUAAGACUCGUUUCUUUCCCCCCCCCUGAUUUUUCUGUCUGAGGAUCAAUUGAACUGUAUUAUCUAUCGCGACUGUCCCGGUAAGGGUUGAAGAGUUCGUCCAAAGGGUCGAGGUGUUGGUGCCACUAUACAGGACAACAGUUUGCUCACACAUGGGUUGUAAAAGCCAUAGUGAAAAUUGUGACGUCUGUAACAUACAACUCAGUCCGUCAUAAUAACAACUUUGUCAGCGUUGACGGACAUCCCUGCUCAGUUGAAGGCUGUGUGUCAAUACGUUUUGGAGUACCCUUGUCUCUGCACCUGUUGAGCUAUACCUGUGGUGUAGUUUAGUACUACAAAUCUGUUUGCCACCCUGGGUGUGAGUGAUUUUGACGUCCUGGCAUGUACACCAAACGUUCCGUAGCACUGAGAUCGACGGGUGUUUUGUCGUCGUCAGAUCUAGACUUCCGUGGGAAGUUCUAUGUCUAUGUCUACUGUGAGCUACGUGGGUGUGUAGUGUGACUUCUAUUCAGGACAGCUGCCUACUCCCAUUGCAAUAAGGCUCCAGUGGUUUUCUGGUGUGUAUGUUUGUUUGUUGAGGUCAUCUUGCUUAUGAAAAAAAAAGAAAGAAAAAAAAUAAGUUGUUAUUGGUAAAUACUAUAUACUGUCUGUUCGUGUGGGUGGGUUUCUGUAAUAAAAUAAACAUGUAUGUGUAACAA